AUUGAACGCUGGCGGCAUGCCUUACACAUGCAAGUCGAACGGCAGCACGGGAGCUUGCUCCUGGUGGCGAGUGGCGAACGGGUGAGUAAUACAUCGGAACGUACCCUGAAGUGGGGGAUAACGUAGCGAAAGUUACGCUAAUACCGCAUAUUCUGUGAGCAGGAAAGAGGGGGAUCGCAAGACCUCUUGCUUUAGGAGCGGCCGAUGUCGGAUUAGCUAGUUGGUGAGGUAAAGGCUCACCAAGGCGACGAUCCGUAGCGGGUCUGAGAGGAUGAUCCGCCACACUGGCACUGAGACACGGCCCAGACUCCUACGGGAGGCAGCAGUGGGGAAUUUUGGACAAUGGGCGCAAGCCUGAUCCAGCCAUGCCGCGUGAGUGAAGAAGGCCUCGGUUGUAAGAC
This 401-nucleotide ribosomal RNA is filed under the name uncultured bacterium. RNAcentral describes it as "bacterial SSU rRNA". It matches the Rfam family "Bacterial small subunit ribosomal RNA", at positions 30 to 431 of the family's 1533-position model. The record is from RNAcentral.